UCGAGGGCAYGCCUGCCUGGGCGUCAUGCA
This 30-nucleotide ribosomal RNA is filed under the name Actinorhytis calapparia. RNAcentral's name for it is "partial 5.8S ribosomal RNA". Lineage: Eukaryota; Viridiplantae; Streptophyta; Magnoliopsida; Arecales; Arecaceae. The record is from RNAcentral.